AACUCAAAAAAUUUGGCGGUAUUUNNNNCNNUNNAGAGGAACCUGUAAUGUAAUCGAUAUUCCACGAUGUAUCUUACUUAACUUUGUAAUUUAAUUUGUAUAUCGCCGUUAUUUGAAAAUUUUAUAAGAAAAAUAAUUUUCUAAAAUUUUUAUUAAAAAAAUAAAUCAGGUCAAGGKGCAGUUUAUAGUUAAGUUUUAUAUGGGUUACAAUAAAUAUAUUUAUACGAAAUUUGUAUUGAAAUUAGUUUUUAAAAAGAAGGUGGAUUUGAUAGUAAAUUUUAAAAGAUAGUAAARUUGAUUUUAGCUCUAAAAUAUGUACMCAUCGCCCGUCGCUCUUGUUAUUAAUAUAAGAUAAGUCGUAACAUAGUAGAUGUACUGGAAAGUGUAUCUAGAAUAUCAAUUUAAAGCUUAUUAAGUAAAGUAUUUCAUUUACAUUGAAAGGAUUAUUGUGCAAAUCAAUAUAAAUUGAUAUAAAUUAAUUAUUAAUUUUUUUUUUUUUAGAUUUAUUUAUUAAAAAUAAUUGUAUUUUUUAUUCUGUUUAAGUAUUUUAUAAAAAAAUAAUAAUUUUAAUUAUAGAUAAUUAGUAAUGUAAA
RNAcentral lists this ribosomal RNA (593 nucleotides) under Teuchophorus enormis. RNAcentral describes it as "partial 12S ribosomal RNA". Lineage: Eukaryota; Metazoa; Arthropoda; Insecta; Diptera; Dolichopodidae. The record is from RNAcentral.